Long non-coding RNA from Fukomys damarensis (Damara mole-rat), 1543 nucleotides. The record is from Ensembl. NCBI's taxonomy places the organism in Eukaryota, Metazoa, Chordata, Mammalia, Rodentia, Bathyergidae.
UGUGCUGAGUCCCCGGGCGCCUCCACGCCGGAGACGCCGACAACAAAGAGGCCGCGGGCGACCCGGCUCGGUCCAGCGCAGCUGCUGCCGGAGCCGUCACGCCCGACCCCUCUUGAGUCCCCUUUCCUUGUGUGCGGUCCGGGGGUCGGGGCUUCCCUAUCCCGAGCCUGUCUUUCCUAGCUGUUCAGAUGGCCCCGUCUUGCAGAGCAUUGAAACUUAGGACCCGAGAUGCCGCGGUCUCGGCUGCGUGUCGGAGGGCCUGGGUAGUGGCGAGCGGACGAGAUAUACAGUUUCCCAGCAGCCUGAACUCUCCCGGCGUUUGGAAAUUGCCCUGGUUCGGCCUCUGGCCUCUGUUGGCCACAAUCCGCCCUCGCAGCCCGAGCACACCGGGGCCCGGGCGCACCCCAGCCAAAGAAACCGAGAGGCACCGCUCUGGGCUGCUUCCAGCAGGAGAUGGGGGGGUGUUGUGUUGCGCUAUACCGGAGAAAGGUGCAGCUGCUCUCGCCAGUGGUCUGGAUCAUUCCUUCUUGACAACACCAGAAGAUGCAGAAGGAGCAUGUUAUACAUCGCUGAUUUCCAACAUCUGUUACUCACCUCAAGAGGAGUCUACAUAUUUCACUGGGAUUCUUCAGAAGGACAAUGGUCACAUCACUACUUCUGAGAGCCCUGAGGAGUUGGGGACCCCUGGACCGUCCUUACCAGAGGCGCCUGGCAUGGAGUCUCGUGGCUUAUUUAGUUCUGAUUCUGGAAUAGAGAUGACUCCUGCAGAGUCCACUGACGUGAACAUGAUCCUAGCAGACCCUCUGGGCCAGAUGAAGGCAGAAGCCUGCAAGUACAUUGACAUCACCAGGCCAGAGGAGGUGAAAUGUCAAGGGCAACGUCUCCCUGACUUGGAGGAUAAAGACUUGGACUUUAAAAGCAAGGACACUGAAAUCUCAAUAAAACCGGGAGGCGUCCGUGAACCUGACACACCAGCUCCUGUGGAGGGGAAAGUCAUCAAGGACCACUUGUUUGAAGAAUCCACCUUUGCUCCUCACACAGAUGACUUCUCUGAGGAGCAGCAUACUCCCCUGGUGACAGCCCCCAUCAGAAUCACGCUGACUGAGACUGAGCCUGCUGUCACGACUUACAUCCAAGACAAGACCCCAGAGAAGCAGGACGUCUGUCUGAAGCCAAGUCCUGACAUGGUCCCCACUGUCACUGUCUCAGAGCCUGAAGAUGAUAGUCCAGAAUCUGUCACUCCUCCUUCUUCUAGUACAGGUAAAGGCGCUGGGAUUCCCUGCCCUGAGCUCCAAAGUACUCACCUGGAGUAGAGACUCGUAUCUAAAGUAUUUGACUUUGUGGGCCCCUCAGCUUCCCUUAGUUUUAGCAUGUCACCUUUUCAGGUUUGUGUCCACCACAGAAAGGUUGAGAUCCAGUAUUGGCCCUAAAGUCCUGUCACAUUGUCCUUGUACAAUCUUUCUUCAUCAGAGGGGGAAGCAAACAUUAACACACACACACACACACACACACACACACACACACACACACACACACACACACA